RNAcentral lists this ribosomal RNA (301 nucleotides) under uncultured bacterium. Its description in RNAcentral is "partial 16S ribosomal RNA". It matches the Rfam family "Bacterial small subunit ribosomal RNA", at positions 509 to 808 of the family's 1533-position model. The record is from RNAcentral.
CAGUAGCGCGGUAAUACAGAGGGUGCAAGCGUUAAUCGGAAUUACUGGGCGUAAAGCGCGCGUAGGUGGUUCGCCAAGUUGGAUGUGAAAUCCCCGGGCUCAACCUGGGAACUGCAUCCAAAACUGGCGAGCUAGAGUAUGGUAGAGGGUGGUGGAAUUUCCUGUGUAGCGGUGAAAUGCGUAGAUAUAGGAAGGAACAUCAGUGGCGAAGGCGACCACCUGGACUGAUACUGACACUGAGGUGCGAAAGCGUGGGGAGCAAACAGGAUUAGAUACCCGCGUAGUCCCUGUCUCUUAUACA